ACGGUUCGAAAGUCUUCCACCCUGCAAAUAGUUAUGUGAUGGAUAAGGGCAAAUAAGAAAGAAAAAAUGUAAGAAGACCAAAGUUUUCUAGUUUUUACUAAUUUUUCAGAAACAACAAUAGUUUUCCUAAUUCUGUAUUCAGGCCAUAAUCUACAGCAUAUCACCUUACACCUACCAAGGUAACUCAUGACCUCAAUUAGCCUUCAGAAAAAUGAGGCAAUGAUGCAAUGUGGUUGCAAGGAAUUCAUGAGGAAUGCAGAAAAAAACAAUAAGCUGAGGAAAACAUCAAUACCUCAUGCUCCUUGAGCUUCUCGU
Long non-coding RNA from Arabidopsis thaliana (thale cress), 315 nucleotides. RefSeq annotates it as other RNA. The transcript has a single exon. NCBI's taxonomy places the organism in Eukaryota, Viridiplantae, Streptophyta, Magnoliopsida, Brassicales, Brassicaceae. The record is from RefSeq.